UAACACGUGGGCAACCUGCCUGUAAGUUGGGGAUAACUCCGGGAAACCGGGGCUAAUACCGAAUGAUAAAGUGUGGCGCAUGCCACGCUUUUGAAAGAUGGUUUCGGCUAUCGCUUACAGAUGGGCCCGCGGUGCAUUAGCUAGUUGGUAGGGUAAUGGCCUACCAAGGCAACGAUGCAUAGCCGACCUGAGAGGGUGAUCGGCCACACUGGGACUGAGACACGGCCCAGACUCCUACGGGAGGCAGCAGUAGGGAAUCUUCCGCAAUGGACGAAAGUCUGACGGAGCAACGCCGCGUGUAUGAAGAAGGUUUUCGGAUCGUAAAGUACUGUUGUUAGAGAAGAACAAGGAUAAGAGUAACUGCUUGUCCCUUGACGGUAUCUAACCAGAAAGCCACGGCUAACUACGUGCCAGCAGCCGCGGUAAUACGUAGGUGGCAAGCGUUGUCCGGAUUUAUUGGGCGUAAAGCGCGCGCAGGCGGUCUUUUAAGUCUGAUGUGAAAGCCCCCGGCUUAACCGGGGAGGGUCAUUGGAAACUGGAAGACUGGAGUGCAGAAGAGGAGAGUGGAAUUCCACGUGUAGCGGUGAAAUGCGUAGAUAUGUGGAGGAACACCAGUGGCGAAGGCGACUCUC
This 632-nucleotide ribosomal RNA is filed under the name uncultured bacterium. Its description in RNAcentral is "bacterial SSU rRNA". It matches the Rfam family "Bacterial small subunit ribosomal RNA", at positions 111 to 729 of the family's 1533-position model. The record is from RNAcentral.